RNAcentral lists this ribosomal RNA (1323 nucleotides) under Holtiella tumoricola. Its description in RNAcentral is "Bacterial large subunit ribosomal RNA". It matches the Rfam family "Bacterial large subunit ribosomal RNA", at positions 1575 to 2909 of the family's 2925-position model. Lineage: Bacteria; Bacillati; Bacillota; Clostridia; Lachnospirales; Cellulosilyticaceae. The record is from Rfam by way of RNAcentral.
AAUUAAAGUAGAGAAGUUCCUGAAUCCACACUGCCGAGAAAAGCUGCUAUUGCGUGAUAGGUACCCGUACCGUAAACCGACACAGGUGGAUGAGGAGAGAAUCCUAAGGCCGACGGGAGAAGCGUUGUUAAGGAACUCGGCAAAAUGACCCCGUAACUUAGGGAGAAGGGGUGCCUACUUCGGUAGGCCGCAGAGAAUAGGCCCAAGCAACUGUUUAGCAAAAACACAGGUCUCUGCUAAACCGAAAGGUGAAGUAUAGGGGCUGACGCCUGCCCGGUGCUGGAAGGUUAAGGGGAGAGGUUAGGAGUAAUCCGAAGCUUUGAACUUAAGCCCCAGUAAACGGCGGCCGUAACUAUAACGGUCCUAAGGUAGCGAAAUUCCUUGUCAGGUAAGUUCUGACCCGCACGAAAGGCGUAAUGAUUUGGGCACUGUCUCGACAGCGCACCCGGUGAAAUUGUAGUACCAGUGAAGAUGCUGGUUACCCGCGACAGGACGGAAAGACCCCGUGGAGCUUUACUGUAACUUGAUACUGAGGUUGGGUAUUACAUGUACAGGAUAGGAGGGAGGCUAAGAAGUGUGGACGCCAGUCUGCAUGGAGCCGCCGGUGGGAUACCUCUCUUGUAAUACUUAACUUCUAACCAUAGCCCGUGAUCCGGGUUUGGGACAAUGUCAGGUGGACAGUUUGACUGGGGCGGUCGCCUCCGAAAGAGUAACGGAGGCGCUCAAAGGUAACCUCAGAAUGGUCGGAAACCAUUCGUAGAGUGCAAAGGCAGAAGGUUGCUUGACUGCGACACCGACGGGUGGAGCAGGUACGAAAGUAGGACUUAGUGAUCCGGUGGUAUGAAAGUGGGAUUGCCAUCGCUCAACGGAUAAAAGCUACCCCGGGGAUAACAGGCUUAUCUCCCCCAAGAGUUCACAUCGACGGGGAGGUUUGGCACCUCGAUGUCGGCUCAUCGCAUCCUGGAGCUGAAGCAGGUUCCAAGGGUUGGGCUGUUCGCCCAUUAAAGCGGUACGCGAGCUGGGUUCAGAACGUCGUGAGACAGUUCGGUCCCUAUCCGUCGUGGGCGUAGGAAGUUUGAGAGGCGUUGUCCUUAGUACGAGAGGACCGGGAUGAACAGACCGCUGGUGCAUCUGUUAGGCUGCCAAGCCUAUAGCAGAGUAGCUAAGUCUGGAGCUGAUAAACGCUGAAGGCAUCUAAGCGUGAAACAGACCUCAAGAUAAGACUUCCCAUCCAGAAAUGGAGUAAGACCCCUUGUAGACUACGAGGUAGAUAGGUUGGAGGUGUAAGCAUGGUAACAUGUGUAGCUGACCAAUACUAACGGU